GAGAUUGUGGCUCAGUGGCAGAGUGCUUGCCUCACAUGUGUGAGGCACUGAGUUCAAUCCUCAGCACCACA
This 71-nucleotide transfer RNA is filed under the name Marmota monax (woodchuck). RNAcentral's name for it is "tRNA.Val". The stretch from base 6 to 66 matches the Rfam family "tRNA", at positions 6 to 65 of the family's 71-position model. From Rfam's summary of the family: Transfer RNA (tRNA) molecules are approximately 80 nucleotides in length. Their secondary structure includes four short double-helical elements and three loops (D, anti-codon, and T loops). Lineage: Eukaryota; Metazoa; Chordata; Mammalia; Rodentia; Sciuridae. The record is from RNAcentral.